RNAcentral lists this transfer RNA (73 nucleotides) under Wasmannia auropunctata (little fire ant). RNAcentral's name for it is "tRNA-Trp". Lineage: Eukaryota; Metazoa; Arthropoda; Insecta; Hymenoptera; Formicidae. The record is from RNAcentral.
AAGAUUUUAAGUUAACAAAAACUUUAAACCUUCAAAGUUUAACAUAUAAUUUUAAAUUUUUUUAUAAAUCUUA